AAAUUGAAGAGUUUGAUCAUGGCUCAGAUUGAACGCUGGCGGCAGGCCUAACACAUGCAAGUCGAACGGUAACAGAAAGCAGCUUGCUGCUUUGCUGACGAGUGGCGGACGGGUGAGUAAUGUCUGGGAAACUGCCCGAUGGAGGGGGAUAACUACUGGAAACGGUAGCUAAUACCGCAUAACGUCGCAAGACCAAAGAGGGGGACCUUAGGGCCUCUUGCCAUCGGAUGUGCCCAGAUGGGAUUAGCUAGUAGGUGGGGUAAAGGCUCACCUAGGCGACGAUCCCUAGCUGGUCUGAGAGGAUGACCAGCCACACUGGAACUGAGACACGGUCCAGACUCCUACGGGAGGCAGCAGUGGGGAAUAUUGCACAAUGGGCGCAAGCCUGAUGCAGCCAUGCCGCGUGUAUGAAGAAGGCCUUCGGGUUGUAAAGUACUUUCAGCGGGGAGGAAGGGAGUAAAGUUAAUACCUUUGCUCAUUGACGUUACCCGCAGAAGAAGCACCGGCUAACUCCGUGCCAGCAGCCGCGGUAAUACGGAGGGUGCAAGCGUUAAUCGGAAUUACUGGGCGUAAAGCGCACGCAGGCGGUUUGUUAAGUCAGAUGUGAAAUCCCCGGGCUCAACCUGGGAACUGCAUCUGAUACUGGCAAGCUUGAGUCUCGUAGAGGGGGGUAGAAUUCCAGGUGUAGCGGUGAAAUGCGUAGAGAUCUGGAGGAAUACCGGUGGCGAAGGCGGCCCCUGGACGAAGACUGACGCUCAGGUGCGAAAGCGUGGGGAGCAAACAGGAUUAGAUACCCUGGUAGUCCACGCCGUAAACGAUGUCGACUUGGAGGUUGUGCCCUUGAGGCGUGGCUUCCGGAGCUAACGCGUUAAGUCGACCGCCUGGGGAGUACGGCCGCAAGGUUAAAACUCAAAUGAAUUGACGGGGGCCCGCACAAGCGGUGGAGCAUGUGGUUUAAUUCGAUGCAACGCGAAGAACCUUACCUGGUCUUGACAUCCACGGAAGUUUUCAGAGAUGAGAAUGUGCCUUCGGGAACCGUGAGACAGGUGCUGCAUGGCUGUCGUCAGCUCGUGUUGUGAAAUGUUGGGUUAAGUCCCGCAACGAGCGCAACCCUUAUCCUUUGUUGCCAGCGGUCCGGCCGGGAACUCAAAGGAGACUGCCAGUGAUAAACUGGAGGAAGGUGGGGAUGACGUCAAGUCAUCAUGGCCCUUACGACCAGGGCUACACACGUGCUACAAUGGCGCAUACAAAGAGAAGCGACCUCGCGAGAGCAAGCGGACCUCAUAAAGUGCGUCGUAGUCCGGAUUGGAGUCUGCAACUCGACUCCAUGAAGUCGGAAUCGCUAGUAAUCGUGGAUCAGAAUGCCACGGUGAAUACGUUCCCGGGCCUUGUACACACCGCCCGUCACACCAUGGGAGUGGGUUGCAAAAGAAGUAGGUAGCUUAACCUUCGGGAGGGCGCUUACCACUUUGUGAUUCAUGACUGGGGUGAAGUCGUAACAAGGUAACCGUAGGGGAACCUGCGGUUGGAUCACCUCCUUA
This 1541-nucleotide ribosomal RNA is filed under the name Escherichia coli. RNAcentral describes it as "bacterial SSU rRNA". It matches the Rfam family "Bacterial small subunit ribosomal RNA". Lineage: Bacteria; Pseudomonadati; Pseudomonadota; Gammaproteobacteria; Enterobacterales; Enterobacteriaceae. The record is from RNAcentral.